GGAAUAUUGGUCAAUGGGCGAGAGCCUGAACCAGCCAAGUAGCGUGCAGGAUGACGGCCCUACGGGUUGUAAACUGCUUUUAUGCGGGGAUAAAGAGUCGCACGUGUGCGACGUUGCAGGUACCGCAUGAAUAAGGACCGGCUAAUUCCGUGCCAGCAGCCGCGGUAAUACGGAAGGUCCGGGCGUUAUCCGGAUUCAUUGGGUUUAAAGGGAGCGCAGGCGGGCUGUCAAGCCAGCCGUCAAAUGGCCCGGCUCAACCGGGUCUUGCGGUUGGAACUGGCGGUCUUGGGUGCACGAGAGGGAGGCGGAACUCGUGGUGUAGCGGUGAAAUGCAUAGAUAUCACGAAGAACCCCGAUUGCGAAGGCAGCCUCCUGGCGUGUUACCGACGCUCAUGCUCGAAGGCGCGGGUAUCAAACA
RNAcentral lists this ribosomal RNA (418 nucleotides) under uncultured bacterium. RNAcentral's name for it is "bacterial SSU rRNA". It matches the Rfam family "Bacterial small subunit ribosomal RNA", at positions 358 to 774 of the family's 1533-position model. The record is from RNAcentral.